RNAcentral lists this transfer RNA (72 nucleotides) under Colletotrichum orbiculare MAFF 240422. RNAcentral's name for it is "tRNA-Gly (TCC) (tRNA-Gly-TCC-2 1 to 4)". It matches the Rfam family "tRNA". From Rfam's summary of the family: Transfer RNA (tRNA) molecules are approximately 80 nucleotides in length. Their secondary structure includes four short double-helical elements and three loops (D, anti-codon, and T loops). The record is from RNAcentral. Lineage: Eukaryota; Fungi; Ascomycota; Sordariomycetes; Glomerellales; Glomerellaceae.
GCAUCUGUAGUGUAGUGGUUAUCAUCCCAGCCUUCCAAGCUGGGGACCCGGUUUCGAUUACCGGCGGAUGCA